This is a non-coding RNA of Durio zibethinus, 1354 nucleotides long. NCBI's taxonomy places the organism in Eukaryota, Viridiplantae, Streptophyta, Magnoliopsida, Malvales, Malvaceae. The record is from RefSeq and is a predicted model, not a curated record.
GUCGGUGAUAUCCAGAAACCGACCCAGCAUAUCAAAAACCGGAAUGCCAACAUUUCUUUCUUUUUAAGUUUUCCCCCAACAAAAUCUCUCACUUUCCCUGAAAAUAAUCCUCCAAAUUAACCAUGACUACCGAACCCGAAACCCGUAACUGGCUGGAGCUUCCUUUGGACGUGACGGCCUCGAUUCUCUCUCGGCUGGGUGCAAUUGAGAUCCUGAACAGCGCCCAAAACGUGUGCUCUCUGUGGCGAAAGAUCUGCAAAGACCCAUUAAUGUGGAGAUCCAUUGACAUGCACAAUUUGGGUGAUGUAUGGGACAUGGAAUAUGACCCCGAGAAGAUGUGCGUUCACGCUGUCGAUCGCAGCUGCGGCCUCUUGGUUGAUAUAAAUCUCGAAUAUUUUGGUAGCGAUGAGCUUCUAAUUCAUAUCGCUGAUAGGUCUAGUCGUCUUAAGCGUCUUCGACUAGUGUCAUGCUAUAAUAUUUCAGAUGAAGGAUUAAAGGAAGCAGCUUUAAAACUUCCAUUUCUGGAAGAGCUUGAAAUUUCAUACUGCUCCAUUUCAAAAGAUGCUCUGGAAACUAUUGGGCGCUGUUGCCCUCACUUGAAAUCAUUAAAAUUCAAUGUUCAGGGAUGUAGACGCUUCCACUUGGAGUCUGAUGAUGAAGCACUAGCUAUUGCGCAAACUAUGCCUGAAUUACGCCACCUCCAACUUUUUGGGAACAAGCUGACUAAUGAUGGCUUGCAGGUCAUUCUCGAUGGUUGUCCUCACCUUGAAUCCCUUGACUUGCGGCAGUGUUUCAAUGUUAAUCUGGGAGGGAACUUGGAGAAAAGAUGUGUUGAACGCAUAAAAAAUUUGCAACGUCCUUAUGACUCAACUCAUGAUUAUGAGUUUGAUGCAGAAGUUUUUGAUACUGGGUCAUCAUAUGAAGAUUACCCAUCUGGAAUUUCUGACAUUGACUUAAUGUCUGAUGAUUACGAUGAUUAUUUUGAGUUCUCAGGGGCCAGUGACUUCUCUGAUUAUGAUGAUGAAUACGUGCUUUUUGACUGAUGGUUUGUCCAUGAAGUAGGGACUACUCCAGAGUAGGAAACCAGGUUAUAAAAGUGCACUGCCUUAUUCGUAAAUAGGAUGAAGAAGAUAAAAUGGAGCUGCAAAUCAAUGAUAUUAUUGCAGUUCAUCAGGUUGCUCUUGAUCAUCAAAUACCAAGGUCUUCUUUGACAUGGAAGGCUGACUUCUAUUGAAUUUUGUUAUUAACAGUGUUCGUGAUUCCUCAAGAAAACAACUGUUGUCCUUCAAGGCACCUUUGUUGUACCUUUUGUUUGGUAUACUCUUCUAUCUAUAAAUAGCUGUUAAUUAAUGUA